This 322-nucleotide ribosomal RNA is filed under the name uncultured Bacillota bacterium. RNAcentral's name for it is "bacterial SSU rRNA". It matches the Rfam family "Bacterial small subunit ribosomal RNA", at positions 28 to 351 of the family's 1533-position model. Lineage: Bacteria; Bacillati; Bacillota. The record is from RNAcentral.
GACGAACGCUGGCGGCGUGCUUAACACAUGCAAGUCGAGCGGACUUAGAGAGCUUGCUCUCUAAGUUAGCGGCGGACGGGUGAGUAACACGUGGGUAAUCUGCCCUCAAGUGGGGAAUAACACAAAGAAAUUUGUGCUAAUACCGCAUAAUGUAUGCUGGUCGCAUGAUUGGCAUAAAAGAUUUAUUGCUUGAGGAUGAGCCCGCGGCCCAUUAGCUAGUUGGUGAGGUAAAGGCCCACCAAGGCAACGAUGGGUAGCCGACCUGAGAGGGUGAUCGGCCACAUUGGAACUGAGACACGGUCCAGACUCCUACGGGUGGCAG